This 762-nucleotide ribosomal RNA is filed under the name Triticum aestivum (bread wheat). RNAcentral's name for it is "partial small subunit ribosomal RNA". Lineage: Eukaryota; Viridiplantae; Streptophyta; Magnoliopsida; Poales; Poaceae. The record is from RNAcentral.
AUGGGGGAGCCCGGCGGGUCCAGCCCCGACGACGCCGUGCUGUUCUUUGGGGUGUCCCUCGUGCUGGGCAUCGGCUCCCGCCACCUCCUCCGCGGCACCCGCGUCCCCUACACCGCCGCCCUCCUCGUCCUCGGCGUCGCCCUCGGAGGCCUUGAGUACGGAACGAAGCAUGGCCUGGGCAAGCUCGGAGCUGGCGUUCGUAUCUGGGCUGCCAUAAAUCCUGAUCUUCUUCUGGCUAUUUUCCUUCCCGCCCUUCUCUUCGAGAGCUCCUUCUCCAUGGAAGGGCACCAAAUCAAGAAAUGCAUGGCGCAGAUGGUGUUACUUGCUGUUCCUGGUGUGGUGAUCUCAACAUUUUUGCUUGGAACUGCCGUAAAGCUUACUUUUCCAUAUGAUUGGAACUGGGAAACUUCGUUCCUGUUUAGUGGACUGCUUAGUGCAACCGAUCCCGUUGCUGUGGUUGCACUUCUAAAAGACCUAGGAGCAAGUAAAAAGCUCAGUACAAUAAUUGAAGGAGAAUCCUUGAUGAACGAUGGGACUGCUAUUGUUGUCUAUCAGUUAUUCUAUCGAAUGGUGCUUGGAAGAACUUAUGAUGCAGGGUCCAUAAUAAAGUUGUUGUCAGAAGUUUCAUUUGGAGCUAUUGCUCUGGGCCUUGCGUUUGGAAUUGCAUCAGUACUAUGGCGGAGCUUUAUUUUCAAUGAUACAAUCAUAGGGAUUUCACUUACUCUCGCUGCCAGCUAUAUUGCUUUCUUCACUGUAAGAUAA